Molecule: non-coding RNA, 1827 nt
Organism: Doryrhamphus excisus (bluestripe pipefish)
Lineage: Eukaryota; Metazoa; Chordata; Actinopteri; Syngnathiformes; Syngnathidae
Source: RefSeq, a predicted model, not a curated record
UUAGAAAAUACAAAACAAACAAACAAAAAAAAAGCGAGUAGAGUCACGUGACAAACCUUAGUGCGGAGAGUGUCCAGUUCAUCCAUGCUCUCCUUGUAACUUCUCUUCAGGUCGUCCAGCUCUUUAGCCUUCACACGAUGCACCUGCAACAUGGACAUCAGUCCGUCAACAUUCAUUCAUUUUCUACCACUUUUCCUCACGAGGGUCGCGGGGGGUGCUGGAGCCUAUCCCAGCUGUCUUCGGGCGAGAGGCGGGAUACACCCUGGACUGGUGGCCAGCCAAUCACAGGGCACAUAUAGACAAACAACCAUUCACACUCACAUUCAUACCUAUGGACAAUUUGGAGUCUCCAAUUAACCUAGCAUGUUUUUGGAAUGUGGGAGGAAACCGGAGUACCCGGAGAAAACUCCACACAGAGAUGGCCGAGGGUGGAAUUGAACCAUGGUCUCCUAGCUGUGAGGGCUGCGCGCUAACCACUUGACCGCCGUGGCGCUUCUGUCAACAUUGGAAUGAUAAUAAAACAAGAGCGCUCAAGAGGCUUAAUUGUCACUAGUAUCUGCACGUGCUCAGUGGGAUUACAUUUAAUACGUUUUUUUAAACACUGGUAGUCCCGCAAAAAAACGAUGUCAACAUGUUAGCGAUGUUGUAGAAAAAAAUGCUAAAGGUACUUAAAUAACCUCUUUUCGCAAGAAACUAAGGAUUGUCCAGUCUUUACUUUCAGACAGGAUGCGACAUUUUAAAAAAAAUUAAUCAACGAAAAAAUUUAACUCCUAGAAAGUUGGUUUCGGCAGCUAUGCGGAAGUCCUAGUGAGCACUUGUAAGUGUAACCAACCACAGCAUAAUGGGCAUGCUUGGAGGUGGGCUGUGGGUGGAAUAAAUUAAAACACACCGUUUUCCCUGGGAAGCAGGAAAAACCCAAAGAAAUACAACUGGAAUAGGAGCAGAUUCCGGAACAUCGAGAAAAGGUUUCUGUGCUGGUUAUUGUGUGUCGCUGCUCUAUAGCGGUCCACAACUCAAAACAAAGGGACGAAAAAUUUGCAUCAUAGGUCCCCUAAUAUUUUACAUCAUCAUCAAAGUGCUUUUGAGAUAGAGUUGGUUUUCAUUAUUACAAAUUGAACUGACAUAAACUCCAGAUUGAUGUAUAAGAUGGUGGAUCUAAAGAUGCAUAUUUCUUCCCACAAUACUUAUCAUUCAACUUGAAACAGACCGAGUGGUUUUAAACAACCACUCAAUAUAAAGUGUCCUCCAUUCUAUUUGCAUUUCAUCAGAGCCACGUCAUUUUAAAAUCAGCUUUCAUGUAAAAAUGAUUUCUGAUGCGCGCUCAUUAAGAACAUGAAAGCAGCGGGGGAAGUCAUGUUGUGUCUCAUCUUUUAAACAAAGCUAUUAAAAGCGAGGCUGGCGAGAGUCAACUUUUCCAAGAAGCUAUUAAGCGGCCCGCGGUAUCCAAGACAACAUCCCGCUCAAUGAGAUGGAGGCAAAUGUAUUUCUUCUUUGCUUCGUUAAUUCAUGCCUUCCCCUCUCAUUGCCAUGCUAAUGGGGACCCAGAUGUUUAUUUUUUUAUUUAUUAUUUAUGUUCUGUUAAGCAUUACUGACUGUGAUAAAGAAUGAAAAUAACAACAGCAUCAUAAACAUUCGUGGUAAAUGAUGGAAGUGGACAGCAUGUGAGGAACGUCUUCUGGUUCUCCUUUGGUCUCCCUGAGUUUAGCAUCCAGCUCGUUGGACUUGAUCUCUUCGGAUUCCUGGAGGACAAAUAAUAUGCUUUACAAUCGGCUCCCUCAGCAACUCCUCCACCCUGCCCUCCAACUGUCAACACAGGGGACACAAGAG